Vombatus ursinus (common wombat) is the source of this 362-nucleotide long non-coding RNA. RefSeq lists it as uncharacterized. The transcript has 3 exons. NCBI's taxonomy places the organism in Eukaryota, Metazoa, Chordata, Mammalia, Diprotodontia, Vombatidae. The record is from RefSeq and is a predicted model, not a curated record.
GGAUAGCCAGACUUCUUUCCUCUCCACAUUCUGCUUCUGACUCUGCAGACCUUGCCACCUUGCCUCAGCUGCCUUCUCAUCCUGUAACUCACCUUGGCUUCCAGCAUUCCCCUAUUGCCACCAUCCAGCCAAUGAUGCACAAAAAUCUCUGCUCUGUUUACCGUGCUACACAUUAGCACAGAGAGGCCCAGUUGUACUGAAAGGAGCUUGAGAAAGAGACCUGUGUCAACACAUCCCUUCACCACACAAUCCAUGGAAAACAUGAUUGGGGAAAACAAGAUGGAACUUGAUUUGCACUGUUCCCCUCAAGGAAGAUGUCUUUUGGCAAACCAAGCCAAAGAUUGUACUCAUUCUCUGGUUGG